GUAGAUUUUCCUUUUAUGGUUACGUUUUGAUGGUUAAUCAUAGAGGAAAAUCCACGU
RNAcentral lists this microRNA precursor (57 nucleotides) under Echinops telfairi (small Madagascar hedgehog). RNAcentral's name for it is "Ete-Mir-376-P3_pre stem-loop". The record is from RNAcentral. Lineage: Eukaryota; Metazoa; Chordata; Mammalia; Afrosoricida; Tenrecidae.